Molecule: ribosomal RNA, 2357 nt
Filed under: Escherichia coli
Lineage: Bacteria; Pseudomonadati; Pseudomonadota; Gammaproteobacteria; Enterobacterales; Enterobacteriaceae
Description: partial 23S ribosomal RNA
Rfam family: Bacterial large subunit ribosomal RNA
Source: RNAcentral
GGCGUGUGACUGCGUACCUUUUGUAUAAUGGGUCAGCGACUUAUAUUCUGUAGCAAGGUUAACCGAAUAGGGGAGCCGAAGGGAAACCGAGUCUUAACUGGGCGUUAAGUUGCAGGGUAUAGACCCGAAACCCGGUGAUCUAGCCAUGGGCAGGUUGAAGGUUGGGUAACACUAACUGGAGGACCGAACCGACUAAUGUUGAAAAAUUAGCGGAUGACUUGUGGCUGGGGGUGAAAGGCCAAUCAAACCGGGAGAUAGCUGGUUCUCCCCGAAAGCUAUUUAGGUAGCGCCUCGUGAAUUCAUCUCCGGGGGUAGAGCACUGUUUCGGCAAGGGGGUCAUCCCGACUUACCAACCCGAUGCAAACUGCGAAUACCGGAGAAUGUUAUCACGGGAGACACACGGCGGGUGCUAACGUCCGUCGUGAAGAGGGAAACAACCCAGACCGCCAGCUAAGGUCCCAAAGUCAUGGUUAAGUGGGAAACGAUGUGGGAAGGCCCAGACAGCCAGGAUGUUGGCUUAGAAGCAGCCAUCAUUUAAAGAAAGCGUAAUAGCUCACUGGUCGAGUCGGCCUGCGCGGAAGAUGUAACGGGGCUAAACCAUGCACCGAAGCUGCGGCAGCGACGCUUAUGCGUUGUUGGGUAGGGGAGCGUUCUGUAAGCCUGUGAAGGUGUACUGUGAGGUAUGCUGGAGGUAUCAGAAGUGCGAAUGCUGACAUAAGUAACGAUAAAGCGGGUGAAAAGCCCGCUCGCCGGAAGACCAAGGGUUCCUGUCCAACGUUAAUCGGGGCAGGGUGAGUCGACCCCUAAGGCGAGGCCGAAAGGCGUAGUCGAUGGGAAACAGGUUAAUAUUCCUGUACUUGGUGUUACUGCGAAGGGGGGACGGAGAAGGCUAUGUUGGCCGGGCGACGGUUGUCCCGGUUUAAACGUGUAGGCUGGUUUUCCAGGCAAAUCCGGAAAAUCAAGGCUGAGGCGUGAUGACGAGGCACUACGGUGCUGAAGCAACAAAUGCCCUGCUUCCAGGAAAAGCCUCUAAGCAUCAGGUAACAUCAAAUCGUACCCCAAACCGACACAGGUGGUCAGGUAGAGAAUACCAAGGCGCUUGAGAGAACUCGGGUGAAGGAACUAGGCAAAAUGGUGCCGUAACUUCGGGAGAAGGCACGCUGAUAUGUAGGUGAAGCGACUUGCUCGUGGAGCUGAAAUCAGUCGAAGAUACCAGCUGGCUGCAACUGUUUAUUAAAAACACAGCACUGUGCAAACACGAAAGUGGACGUAUACGGUGUGACGCCUGCCCGGUGCCGGAAGGUUAAUUGAUGGGGUCAGCGCAAGCGAAGCUCUUGAUCGAAGCCCCGGUAAACGGCGGCCGUAACUAUAACGGUCCUAAGGUAGCGAAAUUCCUUGUCGGGUAAGUUCCGACCUGCACGAAUGGCGUAAUGAUGGCCAGGCUGUCUCCACCCGAGACUCAGUGAAAUUGAACUCGCUGUGAAGAUGCAGUGUACCCGCGGCAAGACGGAAAGACCCCGUGAACCUUUACUAUAGCUUGACACUGAACAUUGAGCCUUGAUGUGUAGGAUAGGUGGGAGGCUUUGAAGUGUGGACGCCAGUCUGCAUGGAGCCGACCUUGAAAUACCACCCUUUAAUGUUUGAUGUUCUAACGUUGACCCGUAAUCCGGGUUGCGGACAGUGUCUGGUGGGUAGUUUGACUGGGGCGGUCUCCUCCUAAAGAGUAACGGAGGAGCACGAAGGUUGGCUAAUCCUGGUCGGACAUCAGGAGGUUAGUGCAAUGGCAUAAGCCAGCUUGACUGCGAGCGUGACGGCGCGAGCAGGUGCGAAAGCAGGUCAUAGUGAUCCGGUGGUUCUGAAUGGAAGGGCCAUCGCUCAACGGAUAAAAGGUACUCCGGGGAUAACAGGCUGAUACCGCCCAAGAGUUCAUAUCGACGGCGGUGUUUGGCACCUCGAUGUCGGCUCAUCACAUCCUGGGGCUGAAGUAGGUCCCAAGGGUAUGGCUGUUCGCCAUUUAAAGUGGUACGCGAGCUGGGUUUAGAACGUCGUGAGACAGUUCGGUCCCUAUCUGCCGUGGGCGCUGGAGAACUGAGGGGGGCUGCUCCUAGUACGAGAGGACCGGAGUGGACGCAUCACUGGUGUUCGGGUUGUCAUGCCAAUGGCACUGCCCGGUAGCUAAAUGCGGAAGAGAUAAGUGCUGAAAGCAUCUAAGCACGAAACUUGCCCCGAGAUGAGUUCUCCCUGACCCUUUAAGGGUCCUGAAGGAACGUUGAAGACGACGACGUUGAUAGGCCGGGUGUGUAAGCGCAGCGAUGCGUUGAGCUAACCGGUACUAAUGAACCGUGAGGCUUAACCUU